This is a long non-coding RNA of Mytilus californianus (California mussel), 3250 nucleotides long. RefSeq lists it as uncharacterized. The record is from RefSeq and is a predicted model, not a curated record. NCBI's taxonomy places the organism in Eukaryota, Metazoa, Mollusca, Bivalvia, Mytilida, Mytilidae. The transcript is spliced from 3 exons.
CAGGAUUAAGCAAGCAAGCAUAUAUAGGAAGAUAUGGUAUAAGUGCCAAUGAGACAACUCUCCAUCCAAGUAACAAUUUAUAAAAGUAAACCAUUAUAGGUCAAAAUACGGCCUUAACACGGAGCCUUGGCUCACACGGAACAGCAAGCUAUAAAGGGCCCCAAAAAUUACCAGUGUAAAACUCUAAAGGUUUUCAAAUUUAUCAUGUAAAAAAUAAUAAUCCCAGACUGUCUGUUAAUUGCGAAAAGAUUAGUCCGUCUGUCAACUGAAAAAUGAAAAAAACUAAAACUUUCAGAAUUUAAAAAUAAUAUCGUCAUCUGAUUUCUUUUUAUAUUAAUUCAGAAUCACAGAGACAUUAAACCAGAUUAUGGUAUUAAAAUAAUUGACGAUUACACCAUGAGAGAUCAGCAUAAAAUGGUUCUAACGAAUCCAGUCUAGAAUAACCAUUUAUCGAAAAUCAGGGCCCAGCAGUGACUGACCUCAUGUUCAUUUUAGGUUUUGCGUUAAUGUACAUUUAUACUAGUAACUUGUAUAUUUGGUAUAGCAUUUUUACUUCUCAAUCUGGAUAGCCUUUGGUAGUAUCAUAUUGUUUCAAUAUCUAUUAGUGAGUAACUAUAUAUAGCUAAGUGACAUCAUCGGACCUACAUUUUGCCAUCAAGUUCAAGCCCCAUAUUUAUUCAUGUACCAUAUACCACCUAUCGGAACUAGACAGUGACAUGAUUGCUUUAAUUUAGUACUGUUGUACAAUGACAUUAAUUUUCCAUAUUCAAUCAUGUGUUCCACAUUAAAGCCUACAAUAUUUAGAAGGAACGAACUUUAUAUUUCAGUGUUUGUUUGUCUUGUAUCAUGUGUCGUUCAAAGAAACCAGACCCUAAUCUAAAAUAGAGAGAUAUUUAUAGUCUGGCUUUUUCAUAAUUUAAUGCUAGAUUGUUGAAACCCAGGAGCUUCUGAGCUUCCCAAUGGACCCUCUACCAGGGCAACUGUAAUUACGCCUCCCAUUCAUAAAAUCUUGGCCUGAGACUAUUGAAAAGUUAAGUAACGCCAUAAACGGUAGGAUUUAGAAUUUCUCUUUAUUGGUCUCCUGCUGUUAAGAUAAUGGGAGAAUUUGGCAUAAAGAAUGUCAAACCCUGACACUUUAGCUAUAAAAUAUACAUGCUCCAAGUCAGGAACUGUUACAUUUAUUUGAUGUUUUUUGGCAAAAAAUAAGGUUCCAAAAAUUUUUCAUUCUCCGCCCCUCUUUCAAAUAUACUGGAAACGCCCUUGAUUAAUCAUAAAAAAGCUUCUGCCAAAGAUUCAUAAAAUUCAAUGUAGGUUUGACAAAGCAAUUGUUGUAUUAUAAACUUUUACCCCAGACAGCUGUAUCUACUUGUUAAUUUCAAAAAGAAAUUCCUUUUCAAUAGCAAAAUACGGGAAAAUUAAAAAUACUAUUUCAUCACUUGUUCUUGAUACUCUUUGAAGUCUUUUGAUCACAAAAACUUCUGUCCAACUUUCGUAAAAUUUCAUGAAGAUUUGACAAGGACAAUGAUAUUUAAAAAAAUCUUGAACCAAAUACUAAACCUAAAUGGUGACAACGUCAAUGAAUUCUAUGAUCGCUAUGUCUCGCUUUCGCGACAUAAAUGGUUUAGGCUCCAUAAAAAUGCAAACCACAUAUCGAAUCUCAGCAGAUAAUGAAAUGCAUUAAACCAAAGGAAAGUUAGUAGAAUUCACAGUAGAUUCAGACUUUGACAGAAAAUGAACAAAUAUAUAACACAGUACCAUUUGAUUGAAAAGUGAAUGUCAUCACUUUUAUUUGCAAUUAAAAGCUAUUGUCUGAAGAAAGAUUUACAAAGCUGAUGUGCUUUUAACCAUUUCAUUUUAAUUCAUUUAGAUUAAAAUAAAUUUUUUUCACCAAAAUUCAAGUGUACGCCGGGCGUUUUGACGUAAACAUAGCUAUGCGCCUGGAAACAAGAAUAUUUUUGCAGUACCUUUUUCAUUUUGAAUACUAGAACUUUUAGAUAAUUAGAAAUUUUAAUGACAUUUUCAUAACCACUAGAAAUCUCAUCAGUUGAAUUUUGCAGCAAAUAUGAGUCUUUGAAGCUUGCUCACAAAGGGUCUUUUGUUGAUAUCAAUUGCAUACUGGUAAAAAAAAAAAAAUUUUGACCAUGCUUUGGAGAAGACAUUUUCGAAGAACUUAUAAAAAAUAACACAGAAGUUUACUUUCUAGCUCAUCUACAUCCAAGCAUCAUGUAAGGAAUUGUCAUUACUUAAAACCAUUAAUUUUUUUCUAAUCUGAGAAACAAUUUUGACAUUUAAAUGAAAUAUUUUACUAAUGAUACUGGGAAUUCGAAGAUCAACCACAAAGUAACAUAAAUAGUACAUGCAUGCAUGCUCUCAAGAUACCAUCUCCCAUACAAAAAAUCACAUCAUAAUGCCGAAAGAAACAUAAUGUGUUUGCAAUUAGGUUCUCCUCCAUGACAGUCUUGACCAUUUAAACUAAAUGAUAAAUUAAAAAUACUGCUAAUGUGUAGUGUUUGGCUCAGGUUGGCUGUCAUUGUGCAACACAUUAAAUAUAAAACUCUGUGGAAAAAACCCCUGAGAGGUCUCUUUGUCAGAAAAAAAUGUCAAACAUUCAAACACUAUCCACAUUGAUCUGUGUCCACACUUGUAACAUGAUUAAUAUAUAAACUGGCUUGUCCAAUUUAUAAGCAGUAGUACUAAUAAGCUAUGGAAUUUAUCAUAAUAACCAUUAAAGCUUAGCUUUUGGUAUUACAUAGCACUUGUAUGCAAUAUUUUUGCACUUUCCAUCAUAGAAAUUUUAAUAAUUAUAUUUGAUUUUUUUUAGAUUCAGAAUUGCCCCAUAUCACAAGAAACUUCCAAAACUUCCAGUGAAUAAACUUCUAUGCAGACUAGCAGAGAUAUUGAACCUGACUUUUCCAGUAUUGUAUAUGAUGUAGUACCACAUCCCAGGGUUCCUGAGUUUUGUGUACACAGGACAUUUGUACCUCAUACAUGUAUGUUGAGAGAAGUUCAGAACAAGCAAUUUGGUUGAAGAGGAGUUGUCAACACGUCAUCUUUGAAUAAAGUCAAUUGUAUUAGAAGUGAAGCCUUAACAGAAAUGAGACAAUAAUCAAGUAAUUCAAAGACUACAUGGAUGUUAUCUGGACUAGCAUUUGUAUGACCUAAAUGUGGUAUUUUUCAUAUGAACACUUACAAGGCAGAUAAUAGUCUGUGACAAACAUUUGUAUGCAAUUAAAGACUUGAAGAACUUGUA